This 475-nucleotide ribosomal RNA is filed under the name uncultured organism. Its description in RNAcentral is "partial 16S ribosomal RNA". It matches the Rfam family "Bacterial small subunit ribosomal RNA", at positions 335 to 801 of the family's 1533-position model. The record is from RNAcentral.
ACUCCUACGGGAGGCAGCAGUGGGGAAUUUUGGACAAUGGGCGAAAGCCUGAUCCAGCAAUGCCGCGUGAGUGAAGAAGGCCUUCGGGUUGUAAAGCUCUUUUGUCAGGGAAGAAACGGUGAGAGCUAAUAUCUCUUGCUAAUGACGGUACCUGAAGAAUAAGCACCGGCUAACUACGUGCCAGCAGCCGCGGUAAUACGUAGGGUGCAAGCGUUAAUCGGAAUUACUGGGCGUAAAGCGUGCGCAGGCGGUUUUGUAAGUCUGAUGUGAAAUCCCCGGGCUCAACCUGGGAAUUGCAUUGGAGACUGCAAGGCUAGAAUCUGGCAGAGGGGGGUAGAAUUCCACGUGUAGCAGUGAAAUGCGUAGAUAUGUGGAGGAACACCGAUGGCGAAGGCAGCCCCCUGGGUCAAGAUUGACGCUCAUGCACGAAAGCGUGGGGAGCAAACAGGAUUAGAAACCCCUGUAGUCCCAUGAU